AGCUUUGCUCAGUGGCAGCAUCAUAGCCAAUGAGGUUUAUCUGAGAUGAGGUUAUCGCUAAUUCAGAACUUUCCCCAAUACGCCCCGUGAUGACAUGCAAUAGAGUCGGCAUUGAUAAUUUGUGACAGUCUCUAGAAAGA
RNAcentral lists this small nuclear RNA (140 nucleotides) under Saimiri boliviensis boliviensis (Bolivian squirrel monkey). Its description in RNAcentral is "U4 spliceosomal RNA (ENSSBOG00000002308.1)". It matches the Rfam family "U4 spliceosomal RNA". Rfam says of the family: U4 small nuclear RNA (U4 snRNA) is a component of the major U2-dependent spliceosome. The structure of U4 snRNA from yeast and human has been reported. U4 snRNA presents a k-turn RNA motif in the 5p-SL related to recognition of Snu13 protein. The record is from Rfam by way of RNAcentral. Lineage: Eukaryota; Metazoa; Chordata; Mammalia; Primates; Cebidae.